ACUGUCUUCCACAAAACCCGUUCCUGGUGUCAAAGUGGUUGGGGACCGCCGCUUGUGAGAGAAAGGACACACUCACAGAAAAAAGGAAAGCUGUUUAUGAUCCAAUGAACUAAACAAAAAGCCCUGUCAAGCUGCCCAAUCAGCUAAGGAGAAAGACCCAGCACCUAUCAGAACAUCUAACACCUGAGGGAUACUCAGCAGAGGUGAGGAGCAUUUACUGACUUACAGGAGCCACAGGACAAGCAGGUGGUGGAAAGGGAAUGUUGCCAAAGGAAACAACACAAGAUAAGAGCUCAGUUACCAUAACAGCGUUGUUUUUGUGAACAUUCUCAUCAAAAGGGACUCUGAGUAUCUGCAGCAAAGUUCAGCUUAAAACCAGGAUGCCGAGUGCAAUCAAGAUGUCUGUUUUUGCUGAUUAACAUCACAAGUAUCUUACAUUUCACAAGGUCCCUGAAAGUCUUCCUUAAUUCAAG
Non-coding RNA from Microcebus murinus (gray mouse lemur), 473 nucleotides. The record is from RefSeq and is a predicted model, not a curated record. NCBI's taxonomy places the organism in Eukaryota, Metazoa, Chordata, Mammalia, Primates, Cheirogaleidae.